This 2187-nucleotide long non-coding RNA is filed under the name Lathyrus oleraceus (garden pea). RNAcentral's name for it is "Pisum sativum (pea) long non-coding RNA (PSAT_LNC030838)". The record is from RNAcentral. Lineage: Eukaryota; Viridiplantae; Streptophyta; Magnoliopsida; Fabales; Fabaceae.
UGGAAUAGAAGUUUAGCAUCAUUGUGCUAUUUAUAGAGCAUUUUAAAGAGCACAACAUCUGAUUGAGUUUUACAAAAUUGCAAAAAAAAAUUAUUAAGUUGAACAAAAUCUCAAAAAAAAUUAUUGAGUUAUACAAAAUUACACAAAAUCUUAUUCAGUUGCAUAAAUUUUUAAUUUUAAUAAUUAAAGUUAUAAUAUUUGUGAUACUAUUGAUUGUUGGAGCUAAUUUAAUAAGUCUUGCAUUACUACAAAAUAGAUGUUACUUGUAGUGUCUUGUUAAAGUAUUAAUUUUGUAAUGCUAUAUUUUUAUUGGACCAUAAAAAAGGACAAUUUAAGCAAAGGUGAGAAAGACCAACAAAUGGACGAGGGGCAAGUCACCCAGCAAAGCCCCUAGGCUCCCUAAAUGGGCCAUUAGGUCGUCCAGAAGUGGCCAAGAGAUCGCCUAGAUGCAGCGAUACACCCGUCCAAUUAAGCUCUUAUUGUCCUAAGGGGGGAACCACUUCUUCUAUGAUUCUAGGAAGACUAAGUCUUCUCUUGACCACUUCCUUGAUCAUGAAGGUAGGGCAUAACCGCCCAUUAACUUUACAACUCAGACCUAAGAGAGCCUAUAUAAAUACUACUUUCCCAAGCGGAUGAGGAGGAAAUUCUAAUUCAUACUAAUCUUCUACUUCCUAAAUGAGCAACAUACUUGUCAUAGUCUUAAUACAUGAUUAAAUCAACCGCCCGCUUGCAACCAAGCAUCGUCGACCAACAACAGGGUCUCUCACCUCACGUGAAUUGAUCUCUUAAACAACUUUGGAAUACCACUGUACAUGGCUUUUCACCGCCGUGAACAAGUCUUCACCACCAAAACGUGUUAUUCACCUACUAAGAUCUCUGAGUCUCUCUGCCUUUUCAGGAAAAACACGCACACAUACUUUAUGAAUACAUAUUUUAAAUAAUAACGAUCAUAAUCCUUUAAAAAAUUAACAUCUUUUUCUCACAUUUAUUUUAUGAAAGACAAUUUAUUGAAUAAAACGAAAAACAAAAAGGAUGAAAAAACGUAAAACAUAACUCAUAAAAAAAACUAAUAAAAAUGAUAAUUAGACAUAUUCAACGUAUCUUUUAAAAACACAAAUAAGAAGUGAAUUUCACUUAAUAUCAUCUAUAAUAAAAAAAUAUAUAUUUGUUAAUCUAUCUACACAUAUAUUUACAAUAUAAAAAUAUGCAUUGCUUAAUCUAUUUGCAUAUAGAUUUCACAUUUGAUAUCUAUUAACUUUGAUGUUAUUAUUAUCUUAAAAAAUAAAUUAAUAUAUGUUAAUUUAUCAAUAAGUGUGUUUCACCUCUUCGAUGAGUUAUUUAUAUAAUUUUUUUUCCAUUUAUUACUUUGUAUAUAUUUUGGGUCUUUCUCCUAAUAUACUACGAAAGGUUAAAAGAUAAAUAAAAUAUAUAUAUAAGUUGAAUAAAAAAUCUUGAACUUUGACUAUCAUAAAAAAAAAAUAUUAUGUGAGAUAAAAGGAUAAACCGAAGAUAUUAGUCGGAGACCAUUAAUAUUAAUUCUAUUUUUAUAACUGACCUUUUGCAAAUCUUAAAUGUUAAAAACUAUUUGAUUGAAGUUGGCAAAACUUUAAAGUUUUUUAUAUAUAAAGAUGGCAAAAUUCUAUUUACUACAUGCAAAAGAGAAGAAAAAAAACAUGGUUCAAAUUCUUAUGUUUGUUUAUGCUCUUAUUUCAUUUCUUUCUCUCUUUCUUUUUGUAACAAAUGGUGGUAUGUUACUUUUUACACAUUAUUCAAAUUUUAUAAUCUAUACAUUAUUAUAUUAUCUUUUAGUAACACUCUUUUUUAUUUAUUUGACAAUGUAGAGCAAGUACCUUGUGUUACUGACGAUGAUUGUCCAUGGAAGCCUUUACCUCUAUAUAUGAUAUGCUUUGAAAAUUAUUGUCGGCACAAGCUACAUUAAAAACUAAAUUUUAAAAUAAUUAUAUUACCUCUAAACAAAUAAUUUUAUUUGUACAACAUAAUGUUUGUACUUUAUAAUUUAAUUAAAAAUCAUUUAUGUUUUUAUUGUUUUUAUUGCUUUUCAAUUUUUGUGAUAAGUUAAAAUGUGUAAUAAUAUAUUAUAUAAGUAUUCUUAUCUAUAAAAAUAGUGUCAUUGCGUAAUUAUAGUGAAUUAUUUUUAUAAACAAUUUUAUUAUAUAAUUAUUAAAU